GCCGAAAUAACUCAGUUGGGAGAGUGUAAGACUGAAGAUCAAAAGGUCCCUGCUUCAAUCCCAGGUUUCGGCA
Molecule: non-coding RNA, 73 nt
Organism: Rhincodon typus (whale shark)
Lineage: Eukaryota; Metazoa; Chordata; Chondrichthyes; Orectolobiformes; Rhincodontidae
Source: the annotation of a RefSeq genome assembly